GUGGGUAUAGCGUAGUUGGUUAACGCGUCAGUUUGUGGCACUGAAGACCGUCGGUUCGAAUCCGACUAUCCACCCCA
This 77-nucleotide transfer RNA is filed under the name Ruminococcus sp. Its description in RNAcentral is "tRNA-His". It matches the Rfam family "tRNA". Rfam says of the family: Transfer RNA (tRNA) molecules are approximately 80 nucleotides in length. Their secondary structure includes four short double-helical elements and three loops (D, anti-codon, and T loops). Further hydrogen bonds mediate the characteristic L-shaped molecular structure. tRNAs have two regions of fundamental functional importance: the anti-codon, which is responsible for specific mRNA codon recognition, and the 3' end, to which the tRNAs corresponding amino acid is attached (by aminoacyl-tRNA synthetases). tRNAs cope with the degeneracy of the genetic code in two manners: having more than one tRNA (with a specific anti-codon) for a particular amino acid; and 'wobble' base-pairing, i.e. permitting non-standard base-pairing at the 3rd anti-codon position. Lineage: Bacteria; Bacillati; Bacillota; Clostridia; Eubacteriales; Oscillospiraceae. The record is from RNAcentral. RNAcentral also lists the same sequence under 5 other names.